This 405-nucleotide ribosomal RNA is filed under the name uncultured bacterium. RNAcentral's name for it is "partial 16S ribosomal RNA". It matches the Rfam family "Bacterial small subunit ribosomal RNA", at positions 29 to 526 of the family's 1533-position model. The record is from RNAcentral.
AUUGAACGCUGGCGGCAGGCCUAACACAUGCAAGUCGAACGAGUGGCGGACGGGUGAGUAAUGUCUGGGAAACUGCCUGAUGGAGGGGGAUAACUAGUGGAAACGGUAGCUAAUACCGCAUACCCUCGUAUGUGCCCAGAUGGGAUUAGCUAGUAGGUGGGGUAAAGGCUCACCUAGGCGACGCUCCCUAGCUGGUCUGAGAGGGUUCCCAGCACAACGGGAAGUGCGACACGGUCCAGCCUCGGACGGGAGGAAGCAGUGGGGAAUAUUGCACAAUGGGCGCAAGCCUGAGGCAGCCAGGCCGCGUGUAUGAAGAAGGCUGUCGGGUUGGAAAGUACUUUCCGCGGGGAGGCGUUACCAGCAGAAGAAGCACCGGCGAACUCCGUGCCAGCAGCCGCGUAAUAC